AUUGAACGCUUGCGGCAUGCCUUACACAUGCAAGUCGAACGGCAGCAUGAUCUAGCUUGCUAGAUUGAUGGCGAGUGGCGAACGGGUGAGUAAUACAUCGGAACGUGCCCUGUAGUGGGGGAUAACUAGUCGAAAGAUUAGCUAAUACCGCAUACGACCUGAGGGUGAAAGUGGGGGACCGCAAGGCCUCAUGCUAUAGGAGCGGCCGAUGUCUGAUUAGCUAGUUGGUGAGGUAAAGGCUCACCAAGGCGACGAUCAGUAGCUGGUCUGAGAGGACGAUCAGCCACACUGGGACUGAGACACGGCCCAGCCUCCUACGGGAGGCAGCAGUGGGGAAUUUUGGACAAUGGGGGCAACCCUGAUCCAGCAAUGCCGCGUGUGUGAAGAAGGCCUUCGGGUUGUAAAGCACUUUUGUCCGGAAAGAAAUCGCACUUACUAAUAUUAGGUGUGGAUGACGGUACCGGAAGAAUAAGGACCGGCUAACUACGUGCCAGCAGCCGCGGUAAUACGUAGGGUCCAAGCGUUAAUCGAAAUUACUGGGCGUAAAGCGUGCGCAGGCGGUUGUGCAAGACCGAUGUGAAAUCCCCGGGCUUAACCUGGGAAUUGCAUUGGUGACUGCACGGCUAGAGUGUGUCAGAGGGGGGUAGAAUUCCACGUGUAGCAGUGAAAUGCGUAGAGAUGUGGAGGAAUACCGAUGGCGAAGGCAGCCCCCUGGGAUAACACUGACGCUCAUGCACGAAAGCGUGGGGAGCAAACAGGAUUAGAUACCCUGGUAGUCCACGCCCUAAACGAUGUCAACUAGUUGUUGGGGAUUCAUUUCCUUAGUAACGUAGCUAACGCGUGAAGUUGACCGCCUGGGGAGUACGGUCGCAAGAUUAAAACUCAAAGGAAUUGACGGGGACCCGCACAAGCGGUGGAUGAUGUGGAUUAAUUCGAUGCAACGCGAAAAACCUUACCUACCCUUGACAUGCCACUAACGAAGCAGAGAUGCAUUAGGUGCUCGAAAGAGAAAGUGGACACAGGUGCUGCAUGGCUGUCGUCAGCUCGUGUCGUGAGAUGUUGGGUUAAGUCCCGCAACGAGCGCAACCCUUGUCUCUAGUUGCUACGAAAGGGCACUCUAGAGAGACUGCCGGUGACAAACCGGAGGAAGGUGGGGAUGACGUCAAGUCCUCAUGGCCCUUAUGGGUAGGGCUUCACACGUCAUACAAUGGUGCAUACAGAGGGUUGCCAAGCCGCGAGGUGGAGCUAAUCCCAGAAAAUGCAUCGUAGUCCGGAUCGUAGUCUGCAACUCGACUACGUGAAGCUGGAAUCGCUAGUAAUCGCGGAUCAGCAUGCCGCGGUGAAUACGUUCCCGGGUCU
RNAcentral lists this ribosomal RNA (1359 nucleotides) under uncultured bacterium. RNAcentral's name for it is "bacterial SSU rRNA". It matches the Rfam family "Bacterial small subunit ribosomal RNA", at positions 28 to 1381 of the family's 1533-position model. The record is from RNAcentral.